This 252-nucleotide ribosomal RNA is filed under the name uncultured bacterium. RNAcentral describes it as "partial 16S ribosomal RNA". It matches the Rfam family "Bacterial small subunit ribosomal RNA", at positions 524 to 775 of the family's 1533-position model. The record is from RNAcentral.
UACGAAGGGGGCGAGCGUUGUUCGGAUUUACUGGGCGUAAAGGGCGCGCAGGCGGCCAUGUUUGUCAGGCGUGAAAGCCCCGGGCUUAACCUGGGAACCGCGCUUGAGACGGGAUGGCUAGAGAUCGGGAGAGGAGAGUGGAAUUCCCAGUGUAGAGGUGAAAUUCGUAGAUAUUGGGAAGAACACCGGUGGCGAAGGCGGCUCUCUGGACCGAUACUGACGCUGAGGCGCGAAAGCGUGGGGAGCAAACAG